RNAcentral lists this ribosomal RNA (1360 nucleotides) under metagenome. RNAcentral's name for it is "bacterial SSU rRNA". It matches the Rfam family "Bacterial small subunit ribosomal RNA", at positions 67 to 1429 of the family's 1533-position model. The record is from RNAcentral.
CGGUAACGCGGGGCAACCUGGCGACGAGUGGCGAACGGGUGAGUAAUGCAUCGGAACGUGCCCAGUAGUGGGGGAUAGCCCGGCGAAAGCCGGAUUAAUACCGCAUACGACCUACGGGUGAAAGCGGGGGACUCGCAAGAGCCUCGCGCUAUUGGAGCGGCCGAUGUCAGAUUAGCUAGUUGGUGGGGUAAAAGCCUACCAAGGCGACGAUCUGUAGCUGGUCUGAGAGGACGACCAGCCACACUGGGACUGAGACACGGCCCAGACUCCUACGGGAGGCAGCAGUGGGGAAUUUUGGACAAUGGGCGCAAGCCUGAUCCAGCCAUGCCGCGUGCGGGAAGAAGGCCUUCGGGUUGUAAACCGCUUUUGUCAGGGAAGAAACGCUCUGGGCUAAUACCCUGGGGUAAUGACGGUACCUGGAGAAUAAGCACCGGCUAACUACGUGCCAGCAGCCGCUGUAAUACGUAGGGUGCAAGCGUUAAUCGGAAUUACUGGGCGUAAGCGUGCGCAGGCGGUUAUGCAAGACAGAUGUGAAAUCCCCGGGCUCAACCUGGGAACUGCAUUUGUGACUGUAUAGCUAGAGUACGGUAGAGGGGGAUGGAAUUCCGCGUGUAGCAGUGAAAUGCGUAGAUAUGCGGAGGAACACCGAUGGCGAAGGCAAUCCCCUGGACCUGUACUGACGCUCAUGCACGAAAGCGUGGGGAGCAAACAGGAUUAGAUACCCUGGUAGUCCACGCCCUAAACGAUGUCAACUGGUUGUUGGACGGCUUGCUGUUCAGUAACGAAGCUAACGCGUGAAGUUGACCGCCUGGGGAGUACGGCCGCAAGGUUGAGACUCAAAGGAAUUGACGGGGACCCGCACAAGCGGUGGAUGAUGUGGUUUAAUUCGAUGCAACGCGAAAAACCUUACCUACCCUUGACAUGUCAAGAAUCUUGCAGAGAUGUGAGAGUGCUCGAAAGAGAACUUGAACACAGGUGCUGCAUGGCCGUCGUCAGCUCGUGUCGUGAGAUGUUGGGUUAAGUCCCGCAACGAGCGCAACCCUUGUCAUUAGUUGCUACGAAAGGGCACUCUAAUGAGACUGCCGGUGACAAACCGGAGGAAGGUGGGGAUGACGUCAGGUCCUCAUGGCCCUUAUGGGUAGGGCUACACACGUCAUACAAUGGCCGGUACAGAGGGCUGCCAACCCGCGAGGGGGAGCUAAUCCCAGAAAACCGGUCGUAGUCCGGAUCGCAGUCUGCAACUCGACUGCGUGAAGUCGGAAUCGCUAGUAAUCGCGGAUCAGCUUGCCGCGGUGAAUACGUUCCCGGGUCUUGUACACACCGCCCGUCACACCAUGGGAGCGGGUUCUGCCAGAAGUAG